RNAcentral lists this long non-coding RNA (239 nucleotides) under Cucumis sativus (cucumber). Its description in RNAcentral is "long non-coding RNA (CSAT_LNC002949)". The record is from RNAcentral. Lineage: Eukaryota; Viridiplantae; Streptophyta; Magnoliopsida; Cucurbitales; Cucurbitaceae.
UAGCAUCAAGUCGAGGUCCAUAUCCUUCGGCCGCUGCAAUUUGCCCAACAUGCUGAACACAUGAAGCACCAGCAGGUAAGCACUCCUUCUGUGAGAUCCCAAUUUCGUGUGAGAUGGACGACCCAUCAUUCAACGAUGGCCCAUCAACCAGAGAUCCAUGACCAAUUCCAUUCGUAAAUGUGAACACACCAUUCGGCUUCACCCCUUUACCGGCUCACUGGGCUUCAUCAAGUUUUCAU